UAGAUGAAAAAUGGGCAGAAUUCGCCCACGAAAAGAAAAAUAGGUAAAAAAAUUGGCAUAGUAUAAAUCCUAUGUAUGCUGAGGAAAUAAAAAAUGAGAUAGAAAAACUGAAUCGUAAACAAAGUUCAGGUUCGAAUUUCAUAGAUAAUAUACAUAGUAUUGUUUAUAAUCUAUAAUGAUAAACAGAUGAAAGACUUUCAAAAGAUUUGAUCCAAUUAUAAUUUUCAUAAUGACUGGGUUGACUUUGAAAAUUCAUUCAUUGAAAUUGAAUUGGUUGGGUGGUACCAAGAAAAUCGAUUAUUAACUUACAUUUCUUAUUAAAUAUUAAUUAAUAUUUAAUAUUAAUUAAAUUAACUGAUCAACUUGCUUUGUUAUCAAACAUUUUUUUCUUGAUUUCAAUUUUUUUUUUUUUUUCAAAAAAAAAAACGGAUCUAUUUUAAUAUGAGACUAACUCCUACCACUUCGGAUACUGAGGUUUCUGGACUUGAAAAAAAAAAUAUAGGACGUAUCACGCAAAUAAUUGGUCCGGUACUCGAUGUAGUUUUUCCACCAGGGAAGAUGCCUAAUAUUUACAACGCUCUGAUAGUUCAAGGUCGAGAUACUGUUGGCCAAGAAAUUAACGUAACUUGUGAAGUACAGCAAUUAUUAGGAAAUAAUAGAGUUAGAGCUGUAGCUAUGAGUGCUACAGAUGGUCUAAAGAGAGGAAUGGUUGUGAUUAACACGGGAGCUCCCCUAAGUGUUCCAGUCGGCGGAGCAACCCUAGGUCGAAUUUUCAACGUGCUUGGAGAGCCUAUUGAUAAUUUAGGUCCUGUAGAUACUGGGACAACCUCUCCUAUUCAUAGAUCCGCGCCUGCCUUUAUACAGUUAGAUACAAAAUUAUCCAUUUUUGAAACAGGAAUUAAAGUUGUAGAUCUUUUAGCUCCUUAUCGCCGUGGCGGAAAAAUAGGACUUUUCGGUGGAGCUGGGGUAGGUAAAACAGUACUGAUUAUGGAAUUGAUCAAUAACAUUGCCAAAGCUCAUGGAGGUGUAUCCGUAUUUGGCGGAGUAGGUGAGCUUACUCGUGAGGGAAAUGAUCUUUAUAUGGAAAUGAAAGAAUCCGGAGUAAUUAAUGAAAAAAAUAUUGCGGAAUCAAAAGUAGCUCUAGUCUACGGGCAAAUGAAUGAACCGCCCGGAGCUCGUAUGAGAGUUGGUUUAACUGCCCUAACUAUGGCAGAAUAUUUCCGAGAUGUCAAUGAACAGGACGUCCUUCUAUUUAUCGACAAUAUCUUCCGUUUUGUCCAAGCCGGAUCCGAAGUAUCUGCCCUAUUGGGCCGAAUGCCUUCCGCUGUGGGUUAUCAACCCACCCUGGGUACUGAAAUGGGUACUUUACAAGAACGAAUUACUUCUACCAAAGAAGGGUCUAUAACUUCUAUUCAAGCAGUUUAUGUACCUGCAGACGAUUUGACCGAUCCUGCUCCUGCCACGACAUUUGCACAUUUGGAUGCUACUACUGUACUAUCAAGAGGAUUAGCUUCCAAAGGUAUCUAUCCAGCAGUCGAUCCUUUAGAUUCAACGUCAACCAUGCUCCAACCUCGGAUCGUUGGUGAAGAACAUUAUGAAACUGCGCAAAGGGUUAAACAAACGUUACAACGUUACAAAGAACUUCAGGACAUUAUAGCUAUUCUUGGGUUGGACGAAUUAUCCGAAGAGGAUCGUUUAACCGUAGCAAGAGCACGAAAAAUUGAACGUUUCUUAUCCCAACCUUUUUUCGUAGCAGAAGUAUUUACAGGUUCCCCAGGGAAAUAUGUUGGUCUAGCAGAAACAAUUAGAGGGUUUAAAUUGAUUCUUUCUGGAGAAUUAGAUAGUCUUCCUGAACAAGCCUUUUAUUUGGUGGGUAAUAUCGAUGAAGCUACUGCGAAGGCUGCGAACUUGUAAAUGGAGAAAGUGAAGGAAAUUAUUUUAUCUACUAAUAGUGGACAAAUUGGGGUAUUAAAAAAUCAUGCGCCUAUUGCCACAGCUUUAGAUAUAGGUAUUUUGAAAAUACGCCUUAACAAUAACAACCGACAAUGGGUAACGAUGGCUCUGAUGGGCGGUUUUGCUAGAAUAGGAAAUAAUGAGAUCACUAUUUUAGUAAAUGAUGCGGAAAAGAGUAUUGACAUUGAUCCACAAGAAGCACAACAAACUCUAAAAAUAGCAGAAGCUAACUUGAAUAAGGCUGAAGGGAAAAGACAAAAAAUUGAGGCAAAUCUAGCUCUCCGACGAGCUAGGACACGAGUAGAGGCUAUCAAUAGGAUCUCGUAACAAGUUGGUUCAGCAAAAUAAUUAAAAAUAGAAAAAGAUAGAAAAUUACAAUAAAAAAAGAUGAGUAGAAAAACUUAUUAGAUACCGGAAUCAAUGGUAUCUAAUACGUUCUAUCUAUACCUUACCUACUAUUGGAUUUGAACCAAUGACUCCUGCCGUAUGAAAGCAAUACUCUAACCACUGAGUUAAGUAGGUCGUUUAUCAUCCUAAAUAAAAAAAGUACCCAUCUAUCAGAUCAAUGGAUUAUAAAUGUUAUAUUACUUAUAAACAAUACCAACGCACUAUCAAUCAAAGAGAUUCGAUCAUGUAAUAUUAAUCUUGACAAGAAUUUAUUUAUCGAAUAAAAUAUGUAUCAAAAGCACAAGGGCUAUAGCUCAGUUGGUAGAGCACCUCGUUUACACACGCGCCAAUGUUUUUUUUUCAUAGGAGUCCAUCAUGUAAUUAAAAGAGUUGAUCUUAUUGAGAAAUCCAUGUCUUACUCCAGGAAUAAAAUAAGAGAACAAUAGCCUGACAAAGGAUUUAGACGUCAAAUAAAAUCCAUAAUGGAUUUGAGAUAUUGAUAAGGUGAAUACUUAAUCUAUUCAAUGCUAGGCAAAUGAGUCUAGGGACCUCAAAAAAAUUCUCUUUUCUUCCUAUCUUAUGAACUUUAAGGUGUAUGAAGUUUCAUUUCCUAUUUGAUAUUUUUAUUUAAGUGGGUUGAUAGAGAGUCCAUUUAACUUUAGUUGAUCCAGGCCAAAAGCAGACCUACGUCAGGAUAACCUUCUUCUUUGAAAAACUUUGGUAGUGCUCUUAGAUUAAAAUCUAAAAAAAAAUAAAUCAGAGCACAGGGAAUCAUUUCCUUUUUCUUUGUGUAAAGAAAAAAGAUGGUAGACUAAUUGAUAUUUCUAUCAGUUAAUGAAAAAGCCCAAUGCAAAAAAAAAUGCACGUUGGGUUUUUAAAACAAUUCAAAUCAUUUUGAUAAUAAUAGUUUGAUCUGUUUUAC
This is an RNA transcript of Medicago truncatula (barrel medic), 3262 nucleotides long. It is a transcript of the gene named ATP synthase subunit beta, chloroplastic-like, with no coding region annotated. Lineage: Eukaryota; Viridiplantae; Streptophyta; Magnoliopsida; Fabales; Fabaceae. The record is from RefSeq and is a predicted model, not a curated record. The transcript has 2 exons.